AUGGAGCCGGAGCCCAUCGGCGCUGCAUUGGAGCUCCGCCGGAGUUGCGAUGGAGCUUCGCCGGAGGCCUCGGUGUUGCGUUGGAGCUCCGUCAGGGCUGCAAUGGAACUUCGCCGGAGCCGUCGGCGCUGCCUUGGAGCUCCGCCGGAGUUGCAAUGGAGCUUCGCCGGAGCCGUCGGUGCUGCGUUGGAGCUCCACCGGAGUUGCAAUGGAGCUUCGCCGGAGCCGUCGGCGUUGCGUUGGAGCUCCAUCCGGGCUGCAAUGGAAGUUGGCCGGAGUUGCAAUGGAGCUUCGCCAGAGCAGCGGUGCUUCGGUGGAGCUGCAAUGGAGCUCGCCAGACGCCCUCGGCGCUUCGUUGGAACUCCGCCGGGGCUGUGA
RNAcentral lists this ribosomal RNA (378 nucleotides) under Triticum aestivum (bread wheat). RNAcentral's name for it is "partial small subunit ribosomal RNA". Lineage: Eukaryota; Viridiplantae; Streptophyta; Magnoliopsida; Poales; Poaceae. The record is from RNAcentral.